GUCAAUCAAGUAAAUUAAAAUUAAAAGGACAAAAAUAGCACCCUCUGAUGACUUAUUUUACUUCCAUGAGUUCCAUCAACACAUAUUGACACACAGUACUGAAUCCGUGUGUCUUCAACUUGAGAAUUGGCAGCAAUGGAGUCUUGCCAUUAGACGACUCGCCCUAACUAAUACAGCCUGUUCCAUAUUCAUCCUCAUGUGUCCCUUCUGUUGCCUUUCCUCAUAUUACGGCAUAAAACCCCAUAGAUAUUUAUCACUG
RNAcentral lists this long non-coding RNA (259 nucleotides) under Citrus sinensis (sweet orange). RNAcentral describes it as "long non-coding RNA (CSIN_LNC005639)". Lineage: Eukaryota; Viridiplantae; Streptophyta; Magnoliopsida; Sapindales; Rutaceae. The record is from RNAcentral.